UACGGGGGGGGCAAGCGUUGUUCGGAAUUACUGGGCGUAAAGGGCUCGUAGGCGGCCAACUAAGUCAGACGUGAAAUCCCUCGGCUUAACCGGGGAACUGCGUCUGAUACUGGAUGGCUUGAGAUUGGGAGAGGGAUGCGGAAUUCCAGGUGUAGCGGUGAAAUGCGUAGAUAUCUGGAGGAACACCGGUGGCGAAGGCGGCAUCCUGGACCGACACUGACGCUGAGGAGCGAAAGCCAGGGGAGCAAACGGG
RNAcentral lists this ribosomal RNA (253 nucleotides) under uncultured bacterium. RNAcentral's name for it is "partial 16S ribosomal RNA". It matches the Rfam family "Bacterial small subunit ribosomal RNA", at positions 524 to 776 of the family's 1533-position model. The record is from RNAcentral.